GUCGUACGGGCUGGGGAAUGACAUCAGAAUCUUCCUAUCCCUGGGGAUCCUUCUUGUCCUCUCAGUUAUUGUGGGGGAAGACUUCAGAAGCAGACAGAGGAAGCACCAUGGGGAUGAUCACCAUGGCUGAAAACCGGCGGAGACGUAGGACUCUAAAGCUCUGUGCCACACAUCUUCCACGUAUGCUCCUAAGGCUGUCUGGAUUGGGAACCGUGGAUGUUUUGCCUUUGUUCGGGAGCUUAAACCACCAAACAUCCUCUACCAGCAAAUCCUUAUGUCUUGUUAUCUAAUGCCAAUGGCUAACGAAAGGACGGUUUGGACACUUACUCAUCCAUCUUGCUGGUGGGAAGAGGUUGUGCUGCAUCACUCUUUCAUAGAUCUGCAGUAGAUGGAGUCCUUUCGCAUCAUCGGGGCAACAUUCAGCAUUAUAGUGGAACUAGUAAAGGAGAUAUGCAGCCAAAAAGGAAUUACGUACGGCCUCCUGUGCCAGUGGAAAAAAAGAGUGGUGAUUGCUUAGUAUAGGCUGACAUCCUCAGCUGAAUACAGGGUUAGGGUUACUCAGCUGAGUACAGGGUAGUUAGCAAUGUAUUUUGGGUGCAUAAAACCACAGUUCAUCUUUGUACUUACAAGUUUGUCAACUCCCUUGUUCAGAGGCACUGCAACACGUACAUAGCUAUGCCAGAUGUAACUGAAGCAAAAGGGAGUGCUCUGCAGGACCGUUCUGCUUCUCCCGAAUGGCACCUCUUUGAUUGUUAAGUGGCGGGCGGACGUGCGUUGUCUUUGGACAUAGCUGUAUCAAAAGCAAGGGAAUUCCUUUACAGACAUUUAUUAAGCAGCUCACUUGCUCUUCGUGUUUAACUUUAGCGUCAUUUUUACAACAAGGGUAUUCUCAAACAGCAGCUUUAAUACUAUAAUCAUUAUCAUUAAGGUGAACUACACCACCGCUAACCGUAAAACCACCUAUCAACCUAACAACUGACCUGCUCCCUUGCAAUAUUUACAGUGAUGUCACUAAGGAUAAACAUUGUGUACUUGUCAGUAUUCUUGCAGCAGCAGCAUUCUGGACCAGUUGCACUAUUCAGAUAAUUUUAUUAAUGUUAUUUUUUGUUAGAAUUAAAAAAAUGUAGAAUGUUUAAAUUGCUAUUGAUGUGUUAUUUUAUUCUGAAUAAAGCAAAACUGAUGGUACUCUGUUGUGUACUGCACAGCUAAUAUGGUGCUAUAGCUUUAAUAGGAAGACCGACGACGUCAAAAUGAUCUAGACAGCAUUCAGAACUGGGCAGACACAUGGCAAAUUACAUUUAAUAGAGAAAAGUGUAAGGUACUGCACACAGGCAGCAAAAAUGUGCAUUGUAACUAUCAUAUGGGAGAUACUGAAAUUGAAGAAGGAAUCUACGAAAAAGACCUAGGAGUUUAUGUUGACUUAGAAAUGUUUUCAUCUAGACAAUGUGGGGAAGCUAUAAAAAAGGCCAACAAGAUGCUCGGAUAUAUUGUGAAAAGUGUUGAAUUUAAAUCAAGGGAAGUAAUGUUAAAACUUUACAAUGAAUUAGUAAGACCUCAUCUAGAAUAUUGUGUUCAGUUCUGGUCACCUCGUUACAAAAAGGAUAUUGCUGCUCUAGAAAGAGUGCAAAGAAGAGCAACCAGAAUUAUCCCGGGUUUAAAAGGCAUGUCAUAUUCAGACAGGCUAAAAGAAUUGAAUCUACGCGGUGAUCUGAUUCAAGCAUUCAAAAUUCUAAAAGGCUUUGACAAUGUAGACCCAGGGGACUUUUUCGACCUGAAAAAAGAAACAAGGACCAGAGGUUACAAGAUUAGAUAAAGGGGCAUUCAGAACAGAAAAUAGGAGGCACUUUUUUACACAGAGAAUUGUGAGGGUCUGGAACCAACUCCCCAGUAAUGUUGUUGAAGCUGACACCCUGGGAUCCUUCAAGAAGCUGCUUGAUGAGAUUCUGGGAUCAAUAAGCUACUAACAACCAAACGAGCAAGAUGGGCCGAAUGGCCCCCUUUCGUUUGUAAACUUUCUUAUGUUCUUAUAUGUUCUUAUGAGCACUGUGACAUUGCUGCUGACUGCUUGAGUUAGGCUGUGUCUUCAGAAGAUUCUGCAGAUCAGAUUCGGGUUAAGUGAAUUUUCGGUCAACCCCACCCCGAGCACAAAAAGAUUUCAUUUUAAUUAACCCCGACCCGAUGUGGUCGACCAGAUCUAGAUGGGGGUGUAUUUCUGGUUGGGGUCCUAACAUAUAUGUGAUUCGAUGAUUACAUAUUAGAUUAGGGGGCAGAUUCUCCUUUCAGAAAAACAACUACAUUUCCAAUGUAUUUUUAAAAUAUGAUGAAAUAUGUAUUAUAUGCAAUAUAUUUGGUUAUCCAAAAUAUAUCGUAAUAUACUGUUCAAUCAAUAUAUUAGACUGUAUUUUCAAAUAUAUUGUAAUAUACAGUGGAACCUUGCUUAAUCAACCUUCAUUGUGAAGUGCACCCCACUGCACCAUCUGCAUUCCCAAAAAGAAAAAAAAAACUAUGUUAAAUAACCUCAAUUAUACAAUCAGCAUGCUGUACACUGCCAAUGAGUUUUUAAAAGGAAAAAAUGAACUGUGUGGAUGCAAUUAGCUGGGUUUGCUGAAGAUGGUUCUAAAGGCUAUUUGUACCUAAUAAAAUGCUGCUCUCUUACAGACACCAAUGGACAAUAAACCGGCCCAUCCUUCAACGCUGUCCUUUGAUCUGCAGUGCAGGUGUAACACAUCUUGUAAUACGACACAAACAACUCACAAGUUAGAAAGAAAUAUCCUGCGAGGAAAAGGAGAGAUCUACAAAAAGCACCACUUUGUGAAAGCAAAGUAAAAGUGUUGCUGUCUUGUGUUCUCUGAUAGCAUGUACAAGCUUAUUGUAAGACUGUGAGACAUUUAGUUGUUUUUUAACAAGUUUCUGAAUUCAACAUUGCUGAUUGUAUAAAGUGUUACUGAACACCCUGCAGUGUUUACUAGAAACCCAAUACUUUGCUUUUGCUGUAUCUAUUUGUCAUACCUUCUUCAAUUUAUUCAUGUUUUUUUUCACACCUCAUGGAAAUACAUUUCUCAGGAGUGUUUAUCAGGAGAAGAUCAUUUCUCUUAAAAUCAUCACAGUGUAUCCAGAUCAGGCUCCCGCUUAUAACAAAGCUGGUGCUCUGAAUGAGUGAUGAGUUGUGGGAACAGGAAAUUAGCGUUGUGACAAGAGGGAGCAUGAACUUGAUACACUGCAGUUUGAUUCAUAAUUCACACAACAAUGUCAAUGAGAUUUGCUAUGAUUUCCAUCUUGCACACUGAACUUACAGCACAGAGCUGCAGAGUGCUGCUGACAUUACAGGGUUACUGUUAGCUUCAUUAGUCACACACACACACACUCUUUAUUAUGUAGAUGAAAAUGGCAUUUCUUUUGGAUAUGUUUAUUUUGUUGUGCAUAAUAAAUAUUUUGAUCUAA
This is a long non-coding RNA of Acipenser ruthenus (sterlet), 3441 nucleotides long. RefSeq lists it as uncharacterized. The record is from RefSeq and is a predicted model, not a curated record. Lineage: Eukaryota; Metazoa; Chordata; Actinopteri; Acipenseriformes; Acipenseridae. The transcript has 2 exons.